AUUGAACGCUGGCGGCAUGCUUUACACAUGCAAGUCGAACGGCAGCACGGGCUUCGGCCUGGUGGCGAGUGGCGAACGGGUGAGUAAUAUAUCGGAACGUACCCAGAAGUGGGGGAUAACGUAGCGAAAGUUACGCUAAUACCGCAUACGACCUAUGGAUGAAAGCGGGGGACCGCAGGACCUUGUGCUCCUGGAUCGGCCGAUAUCUGAUUAGCUAGUUGGUGAGGUAAAGGCUCACCAAGGCGACGAUCAGUAGCUGGUCUGAGAGGACGACCAGCCACACUGGAACUGAGACACGGUCCAGACUCCUACGGGAGGCAGCAGUGGGGAAUUUUGGACAAUGGGCGCAAGCCUGAUCCAGCAAUGCCGCGUGAGUGAAGAAGGCCUUCGGGUUGUAAAGCUCUUUUGUCAGGGAAGAAACGGUAGAGGCUAAUAUCCUUUGCUAAUGACGGUACCUGAAGAAUAAGCACCGGCUAACUACGUG
This 484-nucleotide ribosomal RNA is filed under the name uncultured bacterium. RNAcentral describes it as "partial 16S ribosomal RNA". It matches the Rfam family "Bacterial small subunit ribosomal RNA", at positions 30 to 507 of the family's 1533-position model. The record is from RNAcentral.